This 117-nucleotide signal recognition particle RNA is filed under the name Nomascus leucogenys (northern white-cheeked gibbon). RNAcentral describes it as "Metazoan signal recognition particle RNA". It matches the Rfam family "Metazoan signal recognition particle RNA". Rfam says of the family: The signal recognition particle (SRP) is a universally conserved ribonucleoprotein. It is involved in the co-translational targeting of proteins to membranes. The eukaryotic SRP consists of a 300-nucleotide 7S RNA and six proteins: SRPs 72, 68, 54, 19, 14, and 9. The record is from Rfam by way of RNAcentral. Lineage: Eukaryota; Metazoa; Chordata; Mammalia; Primates; Hylobatidae.
GCCGGGCGUGGUGGCUCAUGCCUGUAAUCCCAGCACUUUGGGAGGCCGAGGCAGGAGGAUUGCUUGAGCUCAGGAGUUCAAGACCAGCCUGGGCAACAUAGCAAGACCCUGUCUCUA